This 611-nucleotide unclassified non-coding RNA is filed under the name Hevea brasiliensis (rubber tree). Lineage: Eukaryota; Viridiplantae; Streptophyta; Magnoliopsida; Malpighiales; Euphorbiaceae. The record is from RNAcentral.
GGUGACAAAGAUAGCUUCCUUUCUACAAGUGCCUAUGUGAUUUAUCUUGGCAGUACUCCAGUGUCAUGGCAUUCAAAAUGCCAACGUUCAGUUGCUAGGUCAUCCACAGAAGCAGAAUACCGAGCCGUCGCAGCUACCACGUCUGAACUUUUAUGGCUCAAGUCAUUGCUUCAAGAACUACAACCAUCUAUCACUUGCAGGCCAUUGAUUCUCUGUGACAAUAUUGGCGCAACUUACUUUUGUGCAAGUCCCAUUUUUCAUUCUAGAAUGAAGCAUCUUUCCCUUGACUACCACUUUGUUCGUGAGCAGGUCACCUCUGGUCACUUAGCCGUUCAACAUAUUUCGAGCAAAGAUCAGCUUGCUGAUCUAUUAACCAAGCCUCAGUCUAAGUCUAGGCUGCAACAUCUUUGGUCCAAGAUUGGUGUCUCUGAUGGGAGCACCAUCUUGCGGGGCCGUAUUGAGGAUAACUCUCAGCCAACUGAUUUAACCAAUUUUGUUACCUAACAGAAUUGGUUUUCUAUCCUUAGUUUAAAUUAAUUUUUUACAUUUAUCUCAUCAUCUCUUGAUGUAAAUCUGUACAUAUCUUGUUGUUACUCUUAUCUCCUUGUGCU